AAGUCGUAACAAGGUUUCCGUAGGUGAACCUGCGGAAGGAUCAUUAACAAAUUUUCCACACACCCCAACCAAACGCACUGUGAACUGUUACCCCACUCUGGCGAGCACUCUGGCCAGGCUGACGGGGACUGCGCGCACGCCCUCAACCAGCGUGCGUCAGGUCUCUGGAGGUCGCGGCCGGGACUCGCCUCUUGUUUACGCCUUGAUUAAACUUUUUACUGAGCCUUUAAUUACACACAAUUAAAGACAACUUUUAGCAACGGAUCUCUUGGCUCUC
This 277-nucleotide unclassified non-coding RNA is filed under the name fungal sp. RNAcentral's name for it is "partial internal transcribed spacer region". The stretch from base 1 to 46 matches the Rfam family "Eukaryotic small subunit ribosomal RNA", at positions 1786 to 1831 of the family's 1831-position model. Lineage: Eukaryota; Fungi. The record is from RNAcentral.